RNAcentral lists this ribosomal RNA (450 nucleotides) under uncultured bacterium. RNAcentral's name for it is "partial 16S ribosomal RNA". It matches the Rfam family "Bacterial small subunit ribosomal RNA", at positions 29 to 523 of the family's 1533-position model. The record is from RNAcentral.
AACGAACGCUGGCGGCAUGCCUAACACAUGCAAGUCGAACGAUGCUUUCGGGCAUAGUGGCGCACGGGUGCGUAACGCGUGGGAAUCUGCCCUUUGGUUCGGAAUAACAGCGAGAAAUUGCUGCUAAUACCGGAUGAUGACGUUAAGUCCAAAGAUUUAUCGCCAGAGGAUGAGCCAUCGUAGGAUUAGCUAGUUGGUGUGGUAAAGGCGCACCAAGGCGACGAUCCUUAGCUGGUCUGAGGGGAUGAUCAGCCACACUGGGACUGAGACACCGCCCAGACUCCUGCGGGAGGCAGCAGUGGGGAAUAUUGGACUAUGGGCGCAAGCCUGAUCCAGCAAUGCCGCGUGAGUGAUGAAGGCCUUAGGGUUGUAAAGCUCUUUUACCCGUGAUGAGAAUGACAGUAGCGGGAGAAUAAGCCCCGGCUAACUCCGUGCCAGCCGCCGCCGUAA